ACUUCUGUAGUGGAGCUGUAAGGAUUCUCGUAGAGCAGUUUUACUUCUUUUAAAGAGUCAUUUGGCUUCAAAAUUGACCCCGUCGCCUGCUUCAAACUGUAGAUUGGAAAAUGGAUGCGAUUUCGGUGGAAACGAAGAUUGAAUAUACUGGUCUUCUGGAACUAAUGGAAAAACUCACAAAGGAGACUCAAAAACUUACAGAAUACCAGAAUAAGAUGCUAAAACAAAAUCUAGCCUUGAACCACCUUAACAAGUCAUUCAAUCAGGCCCAGUCUCGUCUGGAAAGAAUAGCAGCUGCGAAAUGUGGCAGUGAGCUCCUAAACCUUUAGGCUUUGAAAACAGCCCUCCUCAGCUGAAUAUACAACCAAGAAAACACAGCAUGUCCAAUGUCUCUAAAUACAUGUAAUGGUAUUGUUUGUUCCCUAAAUAUAUAUUUUUGGUAGUAAAAAUGCAAAAUGCAGUUCUUUUUUAACAUUAA
Lepisosteus oculatus (spotted gar) is the source of this 478-nucleotide non-coding RNA. Lineage: Eukaryota; Metazoa; Chordata; Actinopteri; Semionotiformes; Lepisosteidae. The record is from RefSeq and is a predicted model, not a curated record.